AGCAACAUAGCUCAGUCGGUAGAAGCGUCUGGCUCAUAUCCAGAAGGUCAAGGGUUCGAGUCCCUUUGUUGCUACCA
This 77-nucleotide transfer RNA is filed under the name Nitrospirota bacterium. RNAcentral's name for it is "Nitrospirae bacterium (sediment metagenome) tRNA-Met". It matches the Rfam family "tRNA". Rfam says of the family: Transfer RNA (tRNA) molecules are approximately 80 nucleotides in length. Lineage: Bacteria; Pseudomonadati; Nitrospirota. The record is from RNAcentral.